UAGGGAAUCUUCCGCAAUGGACGCAAGUCUGACGGAGCAACGCCGCGUGAGUGAAGAAGGUUCUCGGAUCGUAAAACUCUGUUGUUAGAGAAGAACAAGUGCUAGAGUAACUGUUAGCGCCUUGACGGUAUCUAACCAGAAAGCCACGGCUAACUACGUGCCAGCAGCCGCGGUAAUACGUAGGUCCCGAGCGUUGUCCGGAUUUAUUGGGCGUAAAGCGAGCGCAGGCGGUUAGAAAAGUCUGAAGUGAAAGGCAGUGGCUCAACCAUUGUAGGCUUUGGAAACUGUUUAACUUGAGUGCAGAAGGGGAGAGUGGAAUUCCAUGUGUAGCGGUGAAAUGCGUAGAUAUAUGGAGGAACACCGGUGGCGAAAGCGGCUCUCUGGUCUGUAACUGACGCUGAGGCUCGAAAGCGUGGGGAGCGAACAGGAUUAGAUACCCUGGUAGUCCACGCCGUAAACGAUGAGUGCUAGGUGUUGGGUCCUUUCCGGGGCUCAGUGCCGCAGCUAACGCAUUAAGCACUCCGCCUGGGGAGUACGACCGCAAGGUUG
RNAcentral lists this ribosomal RNA (549 nucleotides) under uncultured bacterium. Its description in RNAcentral is "bacterial SSU rRNA". It matches the Rfam family "Bacterial small subunit ribosomal RNA", at positions 355 to 896 of the family's 1533-position model. The record is from RNAcentral.